This 406-nucleotide ribosomal RNA is filed under the name uncultured bacterium. RNAcentral describes it as "partial 16S ribosomal RNA". It matches the Rfam family "Bacterial small subunit ribosomal RNA", at positions 29 to 526 of the family's 1533-position model. The record is from RNAcentral.
AUUGAACGCUGGCGGCAGGCCUAACACAUGCAAGUCGAACGAGUGGCGGACGGGUGAGUAAUGUCUGGGAAACUGCCUGAUGGAGGGGGAUAACUACUGGAAACGGUAGCUAAUACCGCAUACCAUCAGAUGUGCCCAGAUGGGAUUAGCUAGUUGGUGGGGUAACGGCUCACCAAGGCGACGAUCCCUAGCUGGUCUGAGAGGAUGACCAGAAACACUGGAACGGAUACACGGUACAGACUAGUACGAGAGGCAGCAGGGGGGAAUAGUGCACAAUGGGCGCAAGAAUGAUGCAGCCAUGCCGCGUGUAUGAAGAAGGCCUUCGGGUUGGAAAGUACUUUCAGCGGGGAGGCGUUAACCGCAGAAGAAGCACCGGCUAACUCCGUGCCAGCAGCCGCGGUAAUAC